AACCAACGCUGGCGGCGUGCCUAAUACAUGCAAGUCGAACGGGGAAAGCUUUCGGGUGAGUACUAGUGGCGCACGGGUGAGGAACGCGUGGAUAAUCUGCCUUAGAGUGGGGGAUAACUAGUCGAAAGAUUAACUAAUACCGCAUAAGACCACGAGAGCUGCGGCUUUUGAGGUCAAAGGUUUUUCGCUCUAAGAUGAGUCCGCGUAAGAUUAGCUAGUUGGUGAGGUAACGGCUCACCAAGGCGACGAUCUUUAACUGGUCUGAGAGGAUGAUCAGUCACACUGGAACUGAGACACGGUCCAGACUCCUACGGGAGGCAGCAGUAGGGAAUAUUGCACAAUGGAGGAAACUCUGAUGCAGCGACGCCGCGUGAGUGAUGAAGGCCUUCGGGUCGUAAAGCUCUGUCGCAGGGGAAUAACACAAUGAAGGUACCCUGUAAGAAAGGAUCGGCUAACUUCGUG
RNAcentral lists this ribosomal RNA (462 nucleotides) under uncultured bacterium. RNAcentral describes it as "partial 16S ribosomal RNA". It matches the Rfam family "Bacterial small subunit ribosomal RNA", at positions 32 to 507 of the family's 1533-position model. The record is from RNAcentral.